RNAcentral lists this ribosomal RNA (239 nucleotides) under uncultured Bacillota bacterium. RNAcentral describes it as "uncultured Firmicutes bacterium partial 16S ribosomal RNA". It matches the Rfam family "Bacterial small subunit ribosomal RNA", at positions 796 to 1041 of the family's 1533-position model. Lineage: Bacteria; Bacillati; Bacillota. The record is from RNAcentral.
CACGCCGUAAACGAUGAUAACUAGGUGUUGGCGUAAGUCAGUGCCGAAGUAAACACAUUAAGUUAUCCGCCUGGGGAGUACGACCGCAAGGUUGAAACUCAAAGGAAUUGACGGGGACCCGCACAAGCAGCGGAGCAUGUGGUUUAAUUCGAAGCAACGCGAAGAACCUUACCAGGCCUUGACAUCCUCUGACCACCUUAGAGAUAAGGGAUUCCCUUCGGGGACAGAGAGACAGGUGG